This is a long non-coding RNA of Manis pentadactyla (Chinese pangolin), 3375 nucleotides long. RefSeq lists it as uncharacterized. The transcript has 2 exons. The record is from RefSeq and is a predicted model, not a curated record. Lineage: Eukaryota; Metazoa; Chordata; Mammalia; Pholidota; Manidae.
GAAUACAUGAAAGUGAUGUUUGUUAGGAUGGUAAUAUUAGUGAUUUUCCCCCCCACUACUUUCCAAACCUUCUAUAAUUUCAUUGCAGUAUACUGGCAUUUUAAAAAAAAGUCCCCUUAGUCUUCCUUCCAACAGUUUGCCUAGACUACAACUUAAAAUGCAAGAUAAGCAAAAUCGCCUUACUCUCUUUUUCAGGAUCCCUUUUUUAAACUUCCACCCACUUAGUUUAUUGAGAACAACCUAAGAACAACCCAAAGAAGGAAAAAUGGGAUAAACAUAGCUAUCCCACUCUCUGACUCCAGUUUCAUUUUACUGGCUUUGUCAGAAGCGGAAGCCCAGUCUAGCCAAAAUUUCAGCAAGGAGUCUACACACAGGGCAAUUCCAUGCUCUUAUACUUCUGUGGGUGAAGGCAAGUCACUGCUGGCAGGAGAUUAUACUUGGAAAGAUUAGACAUUCCCCCUCCUUAGGAAAGAAUAGUGAGAAAGGGGAAGCUGGGAAAGAACCCCUAUUCAUAUCUCUUCUCUGAGAUUUUGUGUCCAAUCUCCAACUACAGAGAAAAGAAUCCUGAGCCAUUUAAUUUUUCGCCACAAAAGAUCCUCUUCUGAAUAAUAAAAAAUUGUCAGUCACCACCUCUGCCGUCUGCAAACCCACCGAGAACCUAUUACCGUCAUCAGGAAUCCCAGACUAACUUUCCCCAAAUUAAGCAAUGGGGCUCUGCCAAAAAAAAAAAGUGUAACACUUGUACAUGUGUGUGGGAGAAUGGAGUACAUUUAAGGCACACUGCUAUCAGGCAGUUUUAAGGAGCUAUUAACACUGGUGACAGUAACAGGGAACUACAUCUGUUUCUCCUUGAGAAAAAUAGCUUCAGUGAUAUCCUAUUUCAGGAGUACUGCAUGAAUUCUUGGCAUGCAGUCUUCAGAUGUUCUAAGGGUGGCUAUUUUCUUUUUUUGAGAUGUAAGAGCCAGAGAGGGAGAAUGUAUCAUCAUCACACGAGAUUCUGUGAAACCCGUUCAGUUCUCACUACAAUCGUGGCCUUUUCUGCUGUUGCUAUACCAGAACAUUCACAAGAGACUCAAACGGCCCCCAGCUCUAACAGCAGCCCAUGUGGCCUUUCACGGCUAAAGUGACCCAGCUGGCACCACUGUAAGGUCUACGAGCAGACUUACACACUUCAGUAAGAAUGAGAAGAUGAGAGUGCAAACAGAAGAACCUUGCUGAUUUCUAGGCCAAAGGACUAAAAGAGAAAGAAAAAGGACACCAUCAUAGACACAUAAAAGAAAAGGGAACAUCCACAGGUACCUGACAGGCUCUGCUGCUAAAACCUAAGCCUUAUAAGAGAUGCCUCUUUCCCCAGCACCUCUACUUUUACAGAUUAAGGUUUUACAUAGAGAUAGUCACCAACUUAUAAUGGCUCUUGCCUUGAAUCACAGCCAGGGUGGGAGCCAAUAGAUCUUGAUGCCCAAGGACAGUCACCCUAACGCUGUCCAGAAAUUGCUUCAUUGGUCUCAGAUUGCUAGCCACUAGCAGCUUCAAAUACCCAUCACAAAACCCUCAGCCCCAGCCUCAAGCUGCAUCCUUCAAUCCCACCAACAUGGAAAGAGCCCUCCCACAUUACAGACAUUACUGCUCACUGCUCGAGUUUCCAAGUUUUCUGCAAUGUAGCAACAUAACUUAAGAAUAUUAACUUUUAAAAAAUAAUUCCACUAAAUGAAAUUUCCCUAUGGUGAGAUAUGUGGGUGGCCCUUAGACUGAAGCCAUCUUGAGGGGAAACCAGGAGAAGGAGUCUCUAUUAUCAUUUAUGUAUUUGUCCCAAUGCUUACCCUUAACCCAAGUGUCCUUCCCUCAACACUCAAGUCUACACUGGGGCAAUAUUUGCUUUCAAAGUUAAAGAAAGGAAAAAAGGCACUGAGCCUCAAUUUGUUCCUUCUCAUCUUUCUCCUACUUUUUGUGGGAAUGAAUGCCCCCUAAACAACACUCCCCUACUGUCCAGGCAGACAGAAGAGGGAAAAUGAAUCCUGCUUGCCAGCUUCAAUUCAGGAGCUCAGUAAAAUGCUUCAUACAUGGCAGUUACACAACCGGGCACAGUGGCUUUGCUGACAUUCCGGUCUCCACAUGGGCAUUUGAGACCUGUGAGUGGGCCUCAGAGCCCUGCUGCUGCCUGUCAGUAAACUGCCCUUGGUAAAUGGGGAACUUGAGGGGAAAGAGGCACAUGUGCCUGCAAGCAGCUCUGCUACAGACAUUCUGCCCAGUUCACUUGUUUGGGGAUGGAAAUGAGGACAAUUACAGGACUCACUAAUUAUUUUAAAGUAUUACAAUUCUCUGAGCCCACAGACAGAUACCAGCAGUUACCUGGUUGUCAGAAGAGCUAAGGAUAUGGAAAAAGAAUACAAGGAAAUUAAAACAUAAGGCAAGUUUUUAUCUGGGAGAUGGAAAAACAUGGAGGGAAAAAAACAAUGCUUAACAGCAACAAACUUAAAAUAAGUCCUUGCUUUUAAGAAGCAAGGUGAAUUAUUACUUUUGGAAGGUACAUAUAUGUCUCUCUGGUGGGAGAGGGUAGCUGUAGAAAUUGCUGCCCCAGCAAUAGCAAAGGAGGAAAUCCCCUGCCAGGAGAUGCACCAUCACAUAAGAGCAAGUUCAGUCACCACAAGAUGGAGACCCGCCAGGAAACCAAACUGCUGAGGUCCCUUCAUCGGCCAGCCUGCAUCUGUUAAUACCUUAUGCUACCUUUCAGCAGGUUAAACACUGCAGUACAAAGUGGGAUGGGGGGAAGCAAGCCCCUAUCUGAGUCCCAGAUACCUGUGCUAGCUGUGAGUGAGAAUUUGUUCUGUAGUCCAUUUCUACUACAAUAUGCAAAAAGCUGCCCUGUGGACAGGAAGUCCUAUCUGUUCAGCUUCAUACCCAUAUUCUCUUUUAUUUAACUCAUUGGAAAAAAGCUCCUUAAGCAGCAAACGGCCACCAAUACAAAUUAAGAACCUAACCCAUAAUAAAUUGACUUAAAGACUGUGAACUCCAAGGCAUGCCUGGGUUCUUACUGCCGCAUCCCCAAUACCUAGCACAGCGCCUAGCAUACACUCUGUAUGAUAUAAAUACUUGUGAGUACUGAAAGAAAGUGAGGUAAAGAAAAUGAGUAAAGAAAGAAAGAGUAAUUGAAUAUUGUGCAGACAUACCAUAAAUGUAUAUCUUGAAGAGUUAAGGAUGCUCCUGAUCUGAGAAACAGCCUGAAGAAGUAGUGCUUUGAAAAGGUUCUAGAAAGACUGCAGUUUCAAUUUUACGAGGUAAGCAAACUAAAAACUGACAGUAUAAUCUAGUAGUUAAGAGCAUGAGCUCCACCAUUAGCUACCUUUGUGACCUUGGGCAGGUUAUUUAGUUUGCUGG